UACGGGGGGGGCAAGCGUUGUUCGGAAUUACUGGGCGUAAAGGGCUCGUAGGUGGCCAACUAAGUCAGGCGUGAAAUCCCUCGGCUUAACCGGGGAACUGCGUCUGAUACUGGAUGGCUUGAGUUUGGGAGAGGGACGCGGAAUUCCAGGUGUAGCGGUGAAAUGCGUAGAUAUCUGGAGGAACACCGGUGGCGAAGGCGGCGUCCUGGACCAACACUGACACUGAUGAGCGAAAGCCAGGGGAGCAAACGGG
RNAcentral lists this ribosomal RNA (253 nucleotides) under uncultured bacterium. RNAcentral describes it as "partial 16S ribosomal RNA". It matches the Rfam family "Bacterial small subunit ribosomal RNA", at positions 524 to 776 of the family's 1533-position model. The record is from RNAcentral.